RNAcentral lists this ribosomal RNA (801 nucleotides) under uncultured bacterium. RNAcentral's name for it is "bacterial SSU rRNA". It matches the Rfam family "Bacterial small subunit ribosomal RNA", at positions 85 to 881 of the family's 1533-position model. The record is from RNAcentral.
AUGCCGGCGAGUGGCGAACGGGUGAGUAAUGCAUCGGAACGUACCCAGUAGUGGGGGAUAACUUACCGAAAGGUAAGCUAAUACCGCAUACGCACUGAGGUGGAAAGCAGGGGACCGCAAGGCCUUGCGCUAUUGGAGCGGCCGAUGUCGGAUUAGCUAGUUGGUGGGGUAAAGGCCUACCAAAGCGACGAUCCGUAGCGGGUCUGAGAGGAUGAUCCGCCACACUGGAACUGAGACACGGUCCAGACUCCUACGGGAGGCAGCAGUGGGGAAUUUUGGACAAUGGGCGCAAGCCUGAUCCAGCCUUGCCGCGUGAGUGAAGAAGGCCUUCGGGUUGUAAAGCUCUUUCGGACGGGAAGAAAUCGUGGUGGCGAAUACCUGCCAUGGAUGACGGUACCGUAAGAAGAAGCACCGGCUAACUACGUGCCAGCAGCCGCGGUAAUACGUAGGGUGCGAGCGUUAAUCGGAAUUACUGGGCGUAAAGCGUGCGCAGGCGGUUUUGUAAGACAGCUGUGAAAUCCCCGGGCUUAACCUGGGAACUGCGGUUGUGACUGCAAGGCUAGAGUAUGGCAGAGGGGGGUGGAAUUCCACGUGUAGCAGUGAAAUGCGUAGAGAUGUGGAGGAACACCGAUGGCGAAGGCAGCCCCCUGGGCCAAUACUGACGCUCAUGCACGAAAGCGUGGGGAGCAAACAGGAUUAGAUACCCUGGUAGUCCACGCCCUAAACGAUGUCGACUAGUUGUUCGGAGAGGAGACUCUCUGAGUAACGCAGCUAACGCGUGAAGUCGACCGCCUGGGGAGU